GCAAGGAAUUUGAUGCAAAAGUUCGAGAUGAAGAAGCCCGAAGGCAAGCGGCUGCUGGAGGUAAGGGUCAUAGAUAUGACCCAGAAAGGAGAGGAACGAGAGAAUCGCGUGCAGUUCCUGCACCCGAAGCCAAUGCUGAGCUAGUUUCCUCUAUGCAGAAAAGACAAGGUCAAUCCAAUCCAAAAAGCAGAAGUGAGAUGUUCAACUCUCAUCCAGAAGAAGUUGCCUCUGGUUUUCCAAUUGACCCUCCUAGACCAUCUCAAGUCGUCGAAGAAGCAAGUAAUGAUCCCCACGUGCAGCUUCAUAAGCGAGGUUCCCAUUCCGGGCCAUUGUCUCACCGAGCUGCUUGGGCAAAAGCUGGAAAGAAUAUGGAUGAUGCCCCAAAGCUUUCUGUAGCGGACAUGUCAGCUAUGUCUGGGCUAGUCGCUGCAAGGAGAAGCAUGUUCUCUGAAGACCGUCCAGAUAAGUCAGGUUCACACAAACAGGAGGUUCCUAAACUCAUAGCCAGGUUUCCCGGAUCCUAUAAAGAGGCUUCACAUUCCACAAUGAAACAAGAACAGAAAAAUCAUGCACUUGCUAGCUCACAUCAUCAAAACGAGGACGGUAGAACCAGCAACAACGAUCCCGUUCUUUUGGGAUAUGGAUCAAAAGGCAACAAAAUCCACUACUCUGGACCACUACUAGUUCCAUCAGGCAAAAUGGAUCAAGUGUUGAAAGAUCACGAUCGCCACAUCCAAGAAGCUGUAAGACGAGCACGCUUGGACAAGGCGAAAGCAAAGAAAAUUCAGGUUGAAGGCAACAAAUUAUCAGCCAAUUCAUUAUUUGUUUCUGGCCGUUGAGCUUCAACUGAGAGCGAAUCGGCUAAGAACAACUA
This 874-nucleotide unclassified non-coding RNA is filed under the name Hevea brasiliensis (rubber tree). The record is from RNAcentral. Lineage: Eukaryota; Viridiplantae; Streptophyta; Magnoliopsida; Malpighiales; Euphorbiaceae.